AGUGAACGCUGGCGGUAGGCCUAACACAUGCAAGUCGAACGGCAGCACAGUAAGAGCUUGCUCUUACGGGUGGCGAGUGGCGGACGGGUGAGGCAUACAUCGGAAUCUACUUUUUCGUGGGGGAUAACGUAGGGAAACUUACGCUAAUACCGCAUACGACCUACGGGUGAAAGCAGGGGAUCUUCGGACCUUGCGCGAUUGAAUGAGCCGAUGUCGGAUUAGCUAGUUGGCGGGGUAAAGGCCCACCAAGGCGAAGAUCCGUAGCUGGUCUGAGAGGAUGAUCAGCAACACUGGAACUGAGACACGGUCCAGACUCCUACGGGAGGCAGCAGUGGGGAAUAUUGGACAAUGGGCGCAAGCCUGAUCCAGCCAUACCGCGUGGGUGAAGAAGGCCUUCGGGUUGUAAAGCACUUUUGUUGGGAAAGAAAAGCAGCAGGUUAAUACCCCGCUGUUCUGACGGUACCCAAAGAAUAAGCACCGGCUAACUUCGUG
RNAcentral lists this ribosomal RNA (492 nucleotides) under uncultured bacterium. RNAcentral describes it as "partial 16S ribosomal RNA". It matches the Rfam family "Bacterial small subunit ribosomal RNA", at positions 29 to 507 of the family's 1533-position model. The record is from RNAcentral.